Molecule: RNase P RNA, 428 nt
Filed under: Desulfobacteraceae bacterium 4572_123
Lineage: Bacteria; Pseudomonadati; Thermodesulfobacteriota; Desulfobacteria; Desulfobacterales; Desulfobacteraceae
Description: RNase P RNA component class A
Rfam family: Bacterial RNase P class A
About the family: Ribonuclease P (RNase P) is a ubiquitous endoribonuclease, found in archaea, bacteria and eukarya as well as chloroplasts and mitochondria. Its best characterised activity is the generation of mature 5'-ends of tRNAs by cleaving the 5'-leader elements of precursor-tRNAs.
Source: RNAcentral
CAAAGCAGCCCAGACGAUCGCGGAAUCCAUAUCGGAUUUCGAGGAAAGUCCGAACACCGCAGGGCAGGGUGCUCCAUAACAUGGAGUCGCGGCAACGUGAAGGAAAGUGCAACAGAAAGAAUACCGCCCUGAUGCCGAUAUCUCCAAACCAUGUGAACAUUUCGCCUGGUCCCGGAAAAGCCGGUAGACAGGGUAAGGGUGAAACGGUGCGGUAAGAGCGCACCAGUUCUCCGGGUGAUCGGAGAAGCUAUGUAAACCCCACCCGGUGCAAGACCAAAUAGGGGAGUGAUUAAGGGCUGCCCGUCCGAGCUCCCGGGUAGGUCGCAAGAGGCGUCGGGCAAUCGGCGUCCCAGAUGAAUGAUCGUUACCCGGUUUAUAAGGGUAACCUUGACCGGGCACAGAAUUCGGCUUAUUGGCUGCUUUGGCCG